This 2326-nucleotide long non-coding RNA is filed under the name Aquila chrysaetos chrysaetos. RNAcentral describes it as "lncRNA (ENSACCG00020013576.1)". Lineage: Eukaryota; Metazoa; Chordata; Aves; Accipitriformes; Accipitridae. The record is from RNAcentral.
ACCCAACCUGCAAUCACAAAAAGAAAAUAAUGAGCGCUGCGGCGGCAAGGAGCGGCAGGGAGGAUGGGAUUUUCCUGCACCACGGUUGCAGUCACCGGUGGAUUUUGCAGGCUCGGGAGACGUCGCGCGGGUCAGGAGCGGAGACGGCGUCGGCUCUGCAGGAAGAAAAAGAGGGACAAAUAGGUUUAAUAUUGAUUGUGUCCCCCAAAUCCCCCCCUUUUUUUUGCUCUUACCCCACGCGGCGCAAAAAAGCGUCUUGCCGUGCUGCGGUUCUGGGACGGUUUGUGCAAUCAGAGAGGGCGCGGGCGCAAAGGCAGGGGAAAAACGCGGGGAAAGGCGCGUGCGAGGACGCAGGGGAAGGGGUUUGCAAAGACGCGCUUUCCGCGCGCGCACGACGGCCGCUGCCUGCGAAGGCGCGAGGGAAAGGUGCGAGGAAAGACGCGCUUUGUGCCCCCGCGAUCGCUGCUGCACGCGAAGACGGAGCGAGGGGUGCGAGGAAACACGCGCUUUCUGCGCGGGCGAUCGCUGCUGAAUCCAAAGACGCAGGGGAAGGGGUUUGCAAAGACGCGCUCUCCGCGCGCGCACGAUUGCUGCCGCGCGCGAGGACGCACGCGGAGACGCGCGCGCAGACGUGUGGCGAGCAACUCGGCCAAGAAAGCCCCCCGGGACUCAGAGGGAAGCAGCGGUGGAUUUUGGGGCGCGCGGGCCGGCUGCUCCCCGCCACCGUGCAGGAUGAUGUGCGCCAGGCAGGCGUUGUCCAAGCUGCCCUGGGCUCGGUGAAACGUUUUCCCGGUGAAGUUGAUGGGGACGGUGACCUGAUUGUCCCGGCGAACGUUGGCGGUGAUGGUGGGACACGGCUCAGCUGGAGGGAGAAGAAGUUGCAAAGCCGUAAAUUCACUUGGGAGCGGUGAGGAAGGACUGUGAAGAUGAACCAUCCGUACAUUCUUGUGCCGUCUUGCGCCACGAGCUCGGCCCAGCAGUCGGUAGGUGCCAGCUUUACGUGGGCAUCCCCACGGAGGCAACGGUGGCCUCGCCGCACACCGACCCACCGCCCUUCAGAAAACUCCGGUAUUUUAUACAUUUGCCAAGCAACGGCUCUCGACGCUUGCGGCCACGAGUGCAAAACACGCCUCGAUUGCAUCAGAAGCAGCCCAGGACGCACGUGCCUGCCGGCCAGGCGCGCUGCACAUGCCGUAACCAUCCCUUCUGUUGGUUCACGGGCUUUGCGCACGCGGCAAAUUACCCUCAUCCAUCGGUCCCAUCCACUGUGCUCUAACCAACGGCAAGACUUUUGCAAGGUAAGCAAAAUUAUGUGCGGUGCCUGGUAUUCCUCCAUUAUUGCAUGUACCACCUCCCCUAACGUUGCUGAACCUCCUUAGCCCCACGGUCAGCAUUUCAAACAACAGAUGAUAAACUCCCUGUUCCCUGUGCUGACUGCGUUUUUUAGUUAUCUACUUCUUACUCAGUGUUCAUCCACGGACCAAAAUUCCAGCUUUUAACCCUUCCGUACACAGGUGGAAAGAAAACAGGGGGUUGCAAAAAAUAAGGGGGUUUGCAGAAAAUACAGGAGUUUGCAAGAAACGGGGCUUGUAGUGAGACGGGGAACCAAAAGAACCGUAGUAGAUACAGUAGAUAUAUGAAUGUAGAUAGGCAUUGUUUAAUAAUUAUCUAGCUUAUAAUGAAGUUAAGGAAGUUUCAAUAGAGGUAGACAUGGCCCAAGGGGAUGAGAAGUGGUGCUUAACGUUUGAGGCUGACUGGGACAGGAGAUAGUCCCUGAGAAGGAGCAGCAGUGACUCCAAGAACCAGCCACGACUGACCUGGUGAUUUGGACAAAUGCCAAGGGACAACUGAGUGUGCGCAGGGGACAGAAAGUUAAGAGUUCACCGUGAAGAAGACAUACAGCCUUCAUCUUCACGACCACCAGACGACCACCAUAAGGAGGCACUGCCCAAGGGCAGUUCAGAGGAGACUAUGGAAAUGACCUCUCGGAGCUAAUUUUAAUAUGAAGCGGGGAUAGGUAAUGCCUACGUAUAGGCGUAUUGCGAAACGCCAUGUAUACGUAACACUCGACCGUAUAAACUCGAAGCGAACUCCCGCGUCGGCGCACGACUUUGGUGGGACUCCCCGCCGUGCUGCCCGGCGCUGAACGAACAUACCGACUUUACAAUCCCGCUGGCUGCGCAGUCCGUAGGAAACGGGGAGGGUUGCAAAAAGAUGGGGGGGUGGCAUAAAGUAGGUUUGGGUUCAAAAAACAGGUGGGUUUGCAAAAAAAGAAAAAGGGGGGGUGGAGGGGCAAAAGAAAAACAGACCGGAUGGCAAAAAAACC